Molecule: ribosomal RNA, 397 nt
Filed under: uncultured bacterium
Lineage: Bacteria
Description: partial 16S ribosomal RNA
Rfam family: Bacterial small subunit ribosomal RNA
Source: RNAcentral
AUACGUAGGGGGCGAGCGUUGUCCGGAAUGAUUGGGCGUAAAGGGCGCGUAGGCGGCCCGGUAAGUCUGGAGUGAAAGUCCUGCUUUUAAGGUGGGAAUUGCUUUGGAUACUGUCGGGCUUGAGUGCAGGAGAGGUAAGUGGAAUUCCCAGUGUAGCGGUGAAAUGCGUAGAGAUUGGGAGGAACACCAGUGGCGAAGGCGACUUACUGGACUGUAACUGACGCUGAGGCGCGAAAGUGUGGGGAGCAAACAGGAUUAGAUACCCUGGUAGUCCACACUGUAAACGAUGAAUGCUAGGUGUAGGGGGUAUCGACCCCUUCUGUGCCGCAGUAAACACAAUAAGCAUUCCGCCCGGGGAGUACGGCCGCAAGGUUGAAACUCAAAUGAAUUGACGGGG